Molecule: ribosomal RNA, 497 nt
Filed under: uncultured bacterium
Lineage: Bacteria
Description: partial 16S ribosomal RNA
Rfam family: Bacterial small subunit ribosomal RNA
Source: RNAcentral
GAUGAACGCUGGCGGCGUGCCUAAUACAUGCAAGUCGAGCGAACAGACGAGGAGCUUGCUCCUCUGACGUUAGCGGCGGACGGGUGAGUAACACGUGGAUAACCUACCUAUAAGACUGGGAUAACUUCGGGAAACCGGAGCUAAUACCGGAUAAUAUAUUGAACCGCAUGGUUCAAUAGUGAAAGACGGUUUUGCUGUCACCUAUAGAUGGAUCCGCGCCGCAUUAGCUAGUUGGUAAGGUAACGGCUUACCAAGGCAACGAUGCGUAGCCGCCCUGAGAGGGUGAACGGCAACACUGGAACGGAGACACGGUCCAGACUCCUACGGGAGACACCGGUAGGGAAUCUUCCGCAAUGGGCGAAAGCCUGACGGAGCAGCGCCGCGUGAGUGAUGAGGGUCUUCGGAUCGUAAAACUCUGUUAUUAGGGAAGAACAAAGGAGUAAGUAAAUAUGCACGACUUGACGGUACCUAAUCAGAAAGCCACGGCUAACUACGUG